AUUGAACGCUGGCGGCAGGCCUAACACAUGCAAGUCGAGCGGAUGAGAAGAGCUUGCUCUUCGAUUCAGCGGCGGACGGGUGAGUAAUGCCUAGGAAUCUGCCUGGUAGUGGGGGACAACGUUUCGAAAGGAACGCUAAUACCGCAUACGUCCUACGGGAGAAAGCAGGGGACCUUCGGGCCUUGCGCUAUCAGAUGAGCCUAGGUCGGAUUAGCUAGUUGGUGAGGUAAUGGCUCACCAAGGCUACGAUCCGUAACUGGUCUGAGAGGAUGAUCAGUCACACUGGAACUGAGACACGGUCCAGACUCCUACGGGAGGCAGCAGUGGGGAAUAUUGGACAAUGGGCGAAAGCCUGAUCCAGCCAUGCCGCGUGUGUGAAGAAGGUCUUCGGAUUGUAAAGCACUUUAAGUUGGGAGGAAGGGCAGUAAGCUAAUACCUUGCUGUUUUGACGUUACCGACAGAAUAAGCACCGGCUAACUCUGUG
RNAcentral lists this ribosomal RNA (484 nucleotides) under uncultured bacterium. RNAcentral describes it as "bacterial SSU rRNA". It matches the Rfam family "Bacterial small subunit ribosomal RNA", at positions 30 to 507 of the family's 1533-position model. The record is from RNAcentral.